This 484-nucleotide ribosomal RNA is filed under the name uncultured bacterium. RNAcentral describes it as "partial 16S ribosomal RNA". It matches the Rfam family "Bacterial small subunit ribosomal RNA", at positions 30 to 507 of the family's 1533-position model. The record is from RNAcentral.
AUUGAACGCUGGCGGCAGGCCUAACACAUGCAAGUCGAGCGGAUGAAGGGAGCUUGCUCCUGGAUUCAGCGGCGGACGGGUGAGUAAUGCCUAGGAAUCUGCCUGGUAGUGGGGGAUAACGUCCGGAAACGGGCGCUAAUACCGCAUACGUCCUGAGGGAGAAAGUGGGGGAUCUUCGGACCUCACGCUAUCAGAUGAGCCUAGGUCGGACUAGCUAGUUGGUGGGGUAAAGGCCUACCAAGGCGACGACCCGUAACUGGUCUGAGAGGAUGAUCAGUCACACUGGAACUGAGACACGGUCCAGACUCCUACGGGAGGCAGCAGUGGGGAAUAUUGGACAAUGGGCGAAAGCCUGAUCCAGCCAUGCCGCGUGUGUGAAGAAGGUCUUCGGAUUGUAAAGCACUUUAAGUUGGGAGGAAGGGCAGUAAGUUAAUACCUUGCUGUUUUGACGUUACCAACAGAAUAAGCACCGGCUAACUUCGUG